AUUGAACGCUGGCGGCAGGCCUAACACAUGCAAGUCGAGCGGAUGCAUCGAGCUUGCUCCUGGAUUCAGCGGCGGACGGGUGAGUAAUGCCUAGGAAUCUGCCUGGUAGUGGGGGAUAACGUCCGGAAACGGGCGCUAAUACCGCAUACGUCCUGAUGGCGAAAGUGGGGGAUCUUCGGACCUCACGCCUUCAGAUGAGCCUAGGUCGGAUUAACUAGUUGGUGGGGUAACGGCCUACCAAGGCGACGAUCCGUAACUGGUCUGAGAGGAUGAUCAGUCAGACUGGCAGUGAGACACAGCACAGACUCCUGCGGGAGGAAACAGUGGAGAAUAUUGGACGAGGAGGGAGAGCCUGAUACAGGCAAGCGGCGGGUAUGAAGAACGACUUCGGAUUGUAGAGCGAUGUAAGUUGUGGGGAUGGACAGUAAGUUUAUACCUGGCUGUAUUGACGGUACCAACAGAAUAAGCUCCGGCUAACUUCGUG
RNAcentral lists this ribosomal RNA (484 nucleotides) under uncultured bacterium. Its description in RNAcentral is "partial 16S ribosomal RNA". It matches the Rfam family "Bacterial small subunit ribosomal RNA", at positions 30 to 507 of the family's 1533-position model. The record is from RNAcentral.